ACGUAAAAAAUGAAGUCGCAGAAUUACUAUAUAUACUCAGAUUCAGAAGAAGAGGAAUCAGUAUUCGGUUUAAUGUUUAGUCUCAUUUAUAAACGCGUUUAUGAUACGUACCUACCUAUAUCAGAUCCAUUAAAUAUUCAAAUCGUAAUAAUUUGAAGAAGAUAUUUUAUAAAAUGCUGUCCACCAAAAUCUAUUUCCUCAUUUUACUGUUCGUAGCAUUACAAAUUUAUGCUGUUAAAUACUACGCAGUUGUUGCUCCUGAUAAUGAUCCACCACACGCUGGAACUGACACCGAUAUCUAUGGACAAUGCUGGCCUCGUCCACCUCCCGACAACACUCCACUUCAAGAUAGUGACAGUGAUACAGAAUCAUCAUAGGUACCUAUUAUUAAGAAAAAAUCAGCGUGUCAAUUUUUUCGUAUAAAUUUACAGACCUCUAUUUUUAAGAAGAAUACAACUAAUAAUUUUAAUUUUUCCACGGUAAGUAAAUUUACAGACCUUUAUUUUAAGAGAAAUAGGAACCCAGUAAUGUUAAUUUUUUCAUAUAA
Long non-coding RNA from Planococcus citri (citrus mealybug), 547 nucleotides. RefSeq lists it as uncharacterized. The transcript has 3 exons. The record is from RefSeq and is a predicted model, not a curated record. Lineage: Eukaryota; Metazoa; Arthropoda; Insecta; Hemiptera; Pseudococcidae.